RNAcentral lists this long non-coding RNA (405 nucleotides) under Calidris pugnax (ruff). RNAcentral describes it as "lncRNA (ENSCPUG00000011144.1)". Lineage: Eukaryota; Metazoa; Chordata; Aves; Charadriiformes; Scolopacidae. The record is from RNAcentral.
GGCAGGAUGUAUAUAACCACCUCAGCUGUUGAUCUCUUUGGUUUGCUGGUUUGGGACUCACACCUGUGCUUUGUUGUAAGGAAGCUUAUUUCUCCAAGACUGAAGCAGAAAAGGGUCACACAACACCAACCCUGCAGAAACACUGGUCUCAGUGCCCUCCAUAAGGCUGUAGCCACCGCAUCCGAGCAGAUCCUGAUGCCUCCUCUCUCAGCACAUCGGCACAGAGGUUCUCUGGGCUACCAGGUCCCUGUUGGCUGUCACUGGAUGAAGCCAUGGAUGUGCAGUGUUAUCUGACAGAAGUCCACUUCUUUCCCCAGCUGAGAUAGAAGAGGUUAGAUGACUCCAGCAACGGCAAACAUCGCCCCUACCACCAGACAAGAUAAAAUAAAAUGUCCCCGCAAGCCA